RNAcentral lists this ribosomal RNA (432 nucleotides) under uncultured bacterium. RNAcentral describes it as "partial 16S ribosomal RNA". It matches the Rfam family "Bacterial small subunit ribosomal RNA", at positions 29 to 506 of the family's 1533-position model. The record is from RNAcentral.
AGCGAACGCUGGCGGCAGGCGUAACACAUGCAAGUCGAACGGAUCCUUCGGGAUUAGUGGCGGACGGGUGAGUAACACGUGGGAACGUGCCCUUUGGUUCGGAACAACUCAGGGAAACUUGAGCUAAUACCGGAUGUGCCCUUCGGGGGAAAGAUUUAUCGCCAUUGGAGCGGCCCGCGUCUGAUUAGCUAGUUGGUGAGGUAACGGCCCACCAAGGCGACGAUCAGUAGCUGGUCUGAGAGGAUGAUCAGCCACACUGGGACUGAGACACGGCCCAGACUCCCACGGGAGGCACCAGUGGGGAAUCUUGCGCAAUGGGCGAAACCCUGACCCGCCCCUGCCGGGUAAAUGAUGAAGGUCUUAGGUUUUUAAAUUUUUUUCAGCGGGGACGAUAAUGACGGUACCCGCAGAAGAAGCCCCGGCUGACUUCGU